ACAAACUUGGUCAUUUAGAGGAAGUAAAAGUCGUAACAAGGUUUCCGUAGGUGAACCUGCGGAAGGAUCAUUAAUGAUUUGAAAAGUGAGCUCAUGAAUAAAAAAAUGAGUUUACAAACUUUCUAUUUUAAACCCCUGUUUUAAAAAUGUUUACUAGAAUGUUUUUGAAAAUUAUAACUGUAAUAGUUGUAAUGAUUUAUAAAAAGUUUAAUAAUAAAACUUUCAGCAAUGGAUCUCUUGGUUCAGGCAUCGAUGAAGAACGCAGC
Molecule: unclassified non-coding RNA, 266 nt
Filed under: uncultured fungus
Lineage: Eukaryota; Fungi
Description: partial contains small subunit ribosomal RNA, internal transcribed spacer 1, and 5.8S ribosomal RNA
Rfam family: Eukaryotic small subunit ribosomal RNA (bases 1-73)
Source: RNAcentral